Molecule: ribosomal RNA, 457 nt
Filed under: uncultured bacterium
Lineage: Bacteria
Description: bacterial SSU rRNA
Rfam family: Bacterial small subunit ribosomal RNA
Source: RNAcentral
AUGAACGCUGGCGGCGUGCUUAACACAUGCAAGUCGAACGGACGCUUUGGGAAACUGGAGCGUUAGUGGCAAACGGGUGCGUAACACGUGGGUGACCUACCUCAAAGUUGGGAAAAACAGACCGAAAGGUUUGCUAAUGCCGCAUAGGCUCGGUCCUUCAUUGGGCAGAGUAAAGCCGCAAGGCGCUUUGAGAGGGGCCUGCGUCCAAUCAGGUAGUUGGUGAGGUAACGGCCCACCAAGCCGAUGACGGGUAGCUGGUCUGAGAGGACGAUCAGCCACACUGGCACUGAGAUACGGGCCAGACUCCUACGGGAGGCAGCAGUGAGGAAGAGUGCGCAAGGGGCGAAAGCCUGACGCAGCGACGCCGCGUGGGCGACGAAGGCCUUCGGGUCGUAAAGCCCUUUUGGUGAGGACGAGUGAGGACGGUACUCAUCGAAUAAGUCUCGGCUAACUACGU